RNAcentral lists this ribosomal RNA (411 nucleotides) under uncultured Treponema sp. RNAcentral's name for it is "bacterial SSU rRNA". It matches the Rfam family "Bacterial small subunit ribosomal RNA", at positions 355 to 755 of the family's 1533-position model. Lineage: Bacteria; Pseudomonadati; Spirochaetota; Spirochaetia; Treponematales; Treponemataceae. The record is from RNAcentral.
CUAAGAAUAUUCCGCAAUGGACGAAAAGUCUGACGGAGCGACGCCGCGUGGAUGAUGAAGGCCGGAAGGUUGUAAAAUCCUUUUAAGUAUGAGGAAUAAGCAGUGUGAGAGAAACGCAUUGUGGUGACUGUAGUACUUGAAUAAGCAACGGCUAAUUACGUGCCAGCAGCCGCGGUAACACGUAAGUUGCGAGCGUUGUUCGGAAUUAUUGGGCGUAAAGGGCAUGUAAGGCGGUUAUCUAAGCUUGGUGUGAAAGGCAGGGGCUCAACUCCUGGACUGCAUUGAGAACUGGAUAACUAGAGUUACUGAAGUGAAAUCAGAAUUCCAGGUGUAGGGGUGAAAUCUGUAGAUAUCUGGAAGAAUACCAAUGGCGAAGGCAGGUUUCAGGCAGAUAACUGACGCUGAGGUGCG